Molecule: non-coding RNA, 124 nt
Organism: Gossypium hirsutum (cotton)
Lineage: Eukaryota; Viridiplantae; Streptophyta; Magnoliopsida; Malvales; Malvaceae
Source: Rfam
AAUAGGAGAAUGACAAAUCAUAUUUUUUCUCUUGAUUUUCAACUUUUUUUCUCGAGAAAAAAUUUAAAUCCAACUAAAAAUGCUAAAAGUCAAGAGGAAAAAUCUGAUUUGCCAUUCACCUAUU